This 450-nucleotide ribosomal RNA is filed under the name uncultured bacterium. RNAcentral's name for it is "partial 16S ribosomal RNA". It matches the Rfam family "Bacterial small subunit ribosomal RNA", at positions 354 to 796 of the family's 1533-position model. The record is from RNAcentral.
GUGGGGAAUAUUGGACAAUGGGCGAAAGCCUGAUCCAGCCAUGCCGCGUGUGUGAAGAAGGUCUUCGGAUUGUAAAGCACUUUAAGUUGGGAGGAAGGGCAUUAACCUAAUACGUUAGUGUUUUGACGUUACCGACAGAAUAAGCACCGGCUAACUUCGUGCCAGCAGCCGCGGUAAUACGAAGGGUGCAAGCGUUAAUCGGAAUUACUGGGCGUAAAGCGCGCGUAGGUGGUUCGUUAAGUUGGAUGUGAAAGCCCCGGGCUCAACCUGGGAACUGCAUCAAAAACUGGCGAGCUAGAGUACGGUAGAGGGUGGUGGAAUUUCCUGUGUAGCGGUGAAAUGCGUAGAUAUAGGAAGGAACACCAGUGGCGAAGGCGACCACCUGGACUGAUACUGACACUGAGGUGCGAAAGCGUGGGGAGCAAACAGGAUUAGAAACCCUGGUAGUCC